This 464-nucleotide ribosomal RNA is filed under the name uncultured bacterium. RNAcentral describes it as "partial 16S ribosomal RNA". It matches the Rfam family "Bacterial small subunit ribosomal RNA", at positions 29 to 507 of the family's 1533-position model. The record is from RNAcentral.
ACGCACGCUGGCGGCGUGCUUAACACAUGCCCGUCGAACGGAAAGGCCCUGCUUGCAGGGUCCUCGAGUGGCGAACGGGUGAGUAACACGUGGGUGAUCUGCCCUGCACUUCGGGAUAAGCCUGGGAAACUGGGUCUAAUACCGGAUAGGAGCCAUUUUUAGUGUGAUGGUUGGAAAGUUUUUUCGGUGUAGGAUGAGCUCGCGGCCUAUCAGCUUGUUGGUGGGGUAAUGGCCUACCAAGGCGGCGACGGGUAGCCGGCCUGAGAGGGUGGACGGCCACAGUGGGACUGAGAGACGGCCCAGACUCCGACGGGUGGCAGAAGGGGGGAAUAUUGCACAAGGGGCGCAAGCCGGAUGCAGCGACGCCGCGGGGGGGAGGACGGCCUUCGGGUUGGAAACUCCUUUCGCUAGGGACGAAGCUUUUUGUGACGGUACCUAGAGAAGAAGCACCGGCUAACUACGUG